AAAUCCCAACUCCUCACUCUCUCUCUCUCUCUCUCUCUCUCUCUCUCUCAUUUCUCAAUUCCGCUCCCCGAUCCCGACUCCUCCCCUCUCAUUUCUCAGUCCCGAUCCCAAUCUCUAUCUCAAGUUCUCUCUCAACGCAGGUUAUCUAUGACAAACUAACUGGAACGAGCCGAGGUUUUGAAUUUGUGACAAUGUCUACUGUUGAGGAGGUUGAGGCAGCUUGCCAGCAGUUUAAUGGUUAUGAUCCAAUAAGUUCUCCGAGACAUGAGUUGGAAGCAUAGGAGAAAAAGAAGGAGAAUACUUUGAAGGAUAAAUAGACAAUUUUUGCUAUGGUUUCUUUUAGUAGUUUAUGUUGUGCUAAUUUAGCUUGUUGUAGAAAAUCAUGGUUAUCUACUACCUAUAGUACGUUGUGUUUUAAAUGAAGACUUAUUGCAUAGCCUAGAGCUUCUUAUGUGGAUUGUUCGCUAUACUAUUUUGUGUCGUCAAGUCUUUUAUCAUGGCUAAUUUUUAAAGUAGUACUCUUGUUAUUUUGGAGAUUGAAGGUCAAUGUGGUAGUGGAUAAAACCAUGAAAAAUGCUAUUAUAAUGAAUAUUUUGGACAUUAUUAUUA
Molecule: long non-coding RNA, 609 nt
Organism: Asparagus officinalis (garden asparagus)
Lineage: Eukaryota; Viridiplantae; Streptophyta; Magnoliopsida; Asparagales; Asparagaceae
Exons: 3
Source: RefSeq, a predicted model, not a curated record